UGGACCAAUGAUGAGAUGUGAUAUGAAUCAAGGACUAAGAUUACUCCAAUUCUGUGCAACUGAAGUCCCUA
Molecule: small nucleolar RNA, 71 nt
Filed under: Choloepus hoffmanni (Hoffmann's two-fingered sloth)
Lineage: Eukaryota; Metazoa; Chordata; Mammalia; Pilosa; Megalonychidae
Description: Small nucleolar RNA SNORD112 (ENSCHOG00000015968.1)
Source: RNAcentral